UACGUAGGUGGCAAGCGUUAUCCGGAAUUAUUGGGCGUAAAGAGCGCGCAGGUGGUUAAUUAAGUCUGAUGUGAAAGCCCACGGCUUAACCGUGGAGGGUCAUUGGAAACUGGUUGACUUGAGUGCAGAGGAGGGAAGUGGAAUUCCAUGUGUAGCGGUGAAAUGCGUAGAGAUAUGGAGGAACACCAGUGGCGAAGGCGGCUUCCUGGUCUGCAACUGACACUGAGGCGCGAAAGCGUGGGGAGCAAACAGG
RNAcentral lists this ribosomal RNA (253 nucleotides) under uncultured bacterium. Its description in RNAcentral is "partial 16S ribosomal RNA". It matches the Rfam family "Bacterial small subunit ribosomal RNA", at positions 524 to 776 of the family's 1533-position model. The record is from RNAcentral.